RNAcentral lists this ribosomal RNA (556 nucleotides) under Hanseniaspora uvarum. RNAcentral describes it as "partial large subunit ribosomal RNA". It matches the Rfam family "Eukaryotic large subunit ribosomal RNA", at positions 88 to 658 of the family's 3401-position model. Lineage: Eukaryota; Fungi; Ascomycota; Saccharomycetes; Saccharomycodales; Saccharomycodaceae. The record is from RNAcentral.
GGCGAGUGAAGCGGUAAAAGCUCAAAUUUGAAAUCUGGUACUUUCAGUGCCCGAGUUGUAAUUUGUAGAAUUUGUCUUUGAUUAGGUCCUUGUCUAUGUUCCUUGGAACAGGACGUCAUAGAGGGUGAGAAUCCCGUUUGGCGAGGAUACCUUUUCUCUGUAAGACUUUUUCGAAGAGUCGAGUUGUUUGGGAAUGCAGCUCAAAGUGGGUGGUAAAUUCCAUCUAAAGCUAAAUAUUGGCGAGAGACCGAUAGCGAACAAGUACAGUGAUGGAAAGAUGAAAAGAACUUUGAAAAGAGAGUGAAAAAGUACGUGAAAUUGUUGAAAGGGAAGGGCAUUUGAUCAGACAUGGUGUUUUUUGCAUGCACUCGCCUCUCGUGGGCUUGGGCCUCUCAAAAAUUUCACUGGGCCAACAUCAAUUCUGGCAGCAGGAUAAAUCAUUAAGAAUGUAGCUACUUCGGUAGUGUUAUAGCUUUUUGGAAUACUGUUAGCCGGGAUUGAGGACUGCGCUUCGGCAAGGAUGUUGGCAUAAUGGUUAAAUGCCGCCCGUCUUGAA